AGAAAAUACUGUACAAAAACCUUGUCAGCUCCCCCAACCUUUAUACAACAAAGACUGGAGUCACUAUCUACAAAACCAUAACGUCUUUCCACUUAGGGCUUGUCUGUAAACUUUGUUUCCUUAAACACUUUUUAAAAGCACUGUGUAGUAGUUCUGAUCUAGAGAUUUUACAAAAUAAAUCUUUUCUCUAUAAGCUCCAUAUUUCCAAGCUUGAUCUCUUCUGUGAAGUGCAUCAGGCUUUUUUUCCCCCUGUGGGGAAGACAAGGGCCGCUAACAUUCCCCUUUUCCAGAGUAAUCACAGGGUAUAAACGCUUCUUCAGAGAGCAAGGUGGGGAGGGAGAGAAAUAAUACACGUUUCUACUCCAGACGAAAUCCCUCCAAGUCGUAGGAAAUCCUGUGAGGAAACGCCACUCCUGGCCCCGGUGCGGUGCUAGCUUUCAUGUGAAGGGUGUGUGUAAAGUCCCUUCCUCCCCCGAGAACGAACGGGGAACUCCCCGGGGCCCGGCCUUUUGAGCCGCUUCCUUCUCCGCGCUGCGGGCAGAGGAAAGUCCCUGUCUGCCCCCAGUCCCCUACGCCCCGGGGAAGGCGUGUGGCAUUCGGGGGGGACAAAAUAGUCUCAACUCAACAAGACAAAGUGACAUACACAGACACAAAAGUCCACGAUCGUCCUCUUCCAAUAAGCCCCGUACUCCCGAGUCUCAAAAGCAGACCCGGGAGGCACGGCCCAGCCGGCCGCCAAGCUCAAGGGCAGUCUGUGCCGCCCGGCGGCACCCGAUCUCCCCCUCGCGCUCGGCGCCGACCGUCUCGGGGGCGUCCUCGCAGCCGGGAGGGGCCCAGCCCUCUCGUCUGGACGCCCGCUGCUCAACCUCCUUCCCGGACGGAGACCCCGGGGGCUCAGAAGGCUACGAUGGCAGUGCUCCAAGGGUUAAUGUCUCUCAGCACCGGCUUAUCGCAGCAGAUCUGCCCGGGCUCGGCGGUUUCCGGACCGCUCUCCUCUCCCUCCGCUUCCUCCCGGCCGCCCCCGGGGCUUUUCCGUAAGAGUCCUGAGAAGCUGGAACCGAAGAUGCUAAUGAGGUUGGCCACGUUACCGGUCUCCAUCUCCUCCGCCUCCUCUUCCUCCUCCGCGGCCGCCCCGCCCGCCUGUUCCUCUAAGUUCCGGCGGGGUUUCUUGAGCGGGGUCGAGCCGGGCUCCGCGUCAUCCGCCCGUGGCACUUCUGGGACGGCAGGGCGCUCCGGCUGCGGCUCAGGCUCUGGCCAGGCGGCUCGGGCAGCCGGCGGGGGCGGCUCCCCCCAGCCCGCGGGUGGCCCGGCUGCCGGCUCCCCGGGCUGCUGCGGCGGCGCCGGGACCCCGGGGUGGCCGGUCAGGUAGAGGCCGGGGCACGGGUCGCUCAGGUAGACCUGGCGGGCACUGCGGAGCACCAGCGAGACCAGCAGGUUCUUGUGCAGCUUGAUGCCGCCGCGCUGGACCCGCGAGUUGUAGAUCUUGCCCAGGGAGAUGCUGACGAUGCG
RNAcentral lists this long non-coding RNA (1509 nucleotides) under Sus scrofa (pig). RNAcentral describes it as "lncRNA (ENSSSCG00055027817.1)". The record is from RNAcentral. Lineage: Eukaryota; Metazoa; Chordata; Mammalia; Artiodactyla; Suidae.